This 459-nucleotide ribosomal RNA is filed under the name Triticum aestivum (bread wheat). RNAcentral's name for it is "partial small subunit ribosomal RNA". Lineage: Eukaryota; Viridiplantae; Streptophyta; Magnoliopsida; Poales; Poaceae. The record is from RNAcentral.
AUGCCCGUCUUCAACGGGGAUGUGCCCGUGCCCAUGGAAACUCCCGAGGAACCGGUGGACGUGCCCUCUGACGACUCCAGCAAAGAGGAGGAAGGAGGGGAGCGGGAAAAAGGGCCUGACUCCGAGGCGACUAACGGAGAGUCGAGGGCUCCCCUCCCCCGGCGCAGGUCCCACGUUCUCCGCCUCUCUCUGAGCGAUGACGACGAGGAUGACGACGAGCAGGACAGCGGGAGCUUGCCCCGAUCCCGAAGAAGGACAGGACCGGGCCAAUCUCCCGCGGGUCUGCCCCGGCCCCGAGGCGGACCGCAGAUGCACCUUCCGCUUCCAAGCUUCCCGAGGUUGACCCUUCUAGCUGGCUUUCAGGCUUCAAAUUUGGCCGGAGGCCGCUUGAGCUCACUGGCAACGACCCGUAAGCAUUUGAUUCUUGUCUUUAUUUCUUGCUCUGCUUCUGAGGCUUGA